Molecule: ribosomal RNA, 115 nt
Filed under: Pseudomonadales bacterium
Lineage: Bacteria; Pseudomonadati; Pseudomonadota; Gammaproteobacteria; Pseudomonadales
Source: RNAcentral
CCUGACGACAAUAGAGCUGUGGCACCACCUGAUACCAUGCCGAACUCAGUAGUGAAACGCAGCAUCGCCGAUGGUAGUGUGGCAUUCGCCAUGUGAGAGUAGGUCAUCGUCAGGC